This 907-nucleotide ribosomal RNA is filed under the name uncultured Campylobacterota bacterium. Its description in RNAcentral is "bacterial SSU rRNA". It matches the Rfam family "Bacterial small subunit ribosomal RNA", at positions 493 to 1398 of the family's 1533-position model. The record is from RNAcentral. Lineage: Bacteria; Pseudomonadati; Campylobacterota.
CCGGCUAACUCCGUGCCAGCAGCCGCGGUAAUACGGAGGGUGCAAGCGUUACUCGGAAUCACUGGGCGUAAAGGACGCGUAGGCGGGAUGCCAAGUCUGAUGUGAAAUCCUAUGGCUUAACCAUAGAACUGCAUUGGAAACUGGUAACCUAGAGUAUGGGAGGGGGAGAUGGAAUUAGUGGUGUAGGGGUAAAAUCCGUAGAUAUCACUAGGAAUACCGAAAGCGAAGGCGAUCUCCUGGAACAUUACUGACGCUAAGGCGUGAAAGCGUGGGGAGCAAACAGGAUUAGAUACCCUGGUAGUCCACGCCCUAAACGAUGUUCACUAGUCGUCGGGAUGCUAGUCAUCUCGGUGAUGCACUUAACAGAUUAAGUGAACCGCCUGGGGAGUACGGUCGCAAGAUUAAAACUCAAAGGAAUAGACGUGGACCCGCACAAGUGGUGGAGCAUGUGGUUUAAUUCGAAGAUACGCGAAGAACCUUACCUAGCCUUGACAUUGAAGAAACACUUCAGAGAUAGAGUGGUGCCCUUCGGGGAAUCUGAAAACAGGUGCUGCACGGCUGUCGUCAGCUCGUGUCGUGAGAUGUUGGGUUAAGUCCCGCAACGAGCGCAACCCUCGUCCUUAGUUGCCAGCAGGUUAAGCUGGGCACUCUAAGGAGACUGCCUUCGUAAGGAGGAGGAAGGUGAGGACGACGUCAAGUCAUCAUGGCCCUUAUGGCUAGGGCUACACACGUGCUACAAUGGGGCGUACAGAGUGUUGCGAUACCGCGAGGUGGAGCUAAUCACUUAAAGCGUCUCUCAGUUCGGAUUGGAGUCUGCAACUCGACUCCAUGAAGCUGGAAUCACUAGUAUCGUAGAUCAGCAAUGCUACGGUGAAUACGUUCCCGGGUCUUGCACACACCGCCCGUC